Molecule: long non-coding RNA, 1072 nt
Filed under: Anser brachyrhynchus (Pink-footed goose)
Lineage: Eukaryota; Metazoa; Chordata; Aves; Anseriformes; Anatidae
Description: lncRNA (ENSABRG00000014785.1)
Source: RNAcentral
GUUCCUGUGUGAAGGGGCUGAUGUUGGAAACGUUACACUGAAUGCACUGCAAGGGGAUUAAACUAAGAAUGAGAGAAGGGCUUCCUUCAGCUACAGACGGUGUUUUUACACUUGGAGUUACUGUGGAAGAGCUGUUCCUUCUUUAAGCUUACAUCUUACCAUGCUCUGCAAUAACGUUUGUGUGUACACAAGCCAUCAGACCCAUUCAUGGAACCCUGUAUUUGAAAACCUUCUGCUCCUAAAUCAUGUAAUUAUUAUAAUAUGAACUAAUUUUCAGGCUCAUCAAAGGGGCUGAAGAUUACAUAAGCAUUGGAGGCUGUACCAGUUAUCCCCAGGAGACACAUCCUUCUCAGACUCAGUGCAUCACCCUGUCUUCAGGACAUCCGUUCCCAGCCACCCAUCUCCUAAAAAUCUCCCUGUCAUCUUUGUCUUUGUGUCUGUCACCACUAGAGGUGAUGUUUAGACUCGCACUGCCCUGUCAUGUUCAGACCAUCAGCAGCUCCUGCUCUGUGUCCUUCCUGUCUGCCUUUUGGUCCUUCACCACAAGCAUCAAGCUGGCCGCACCUUGUGACACUGCACAACUCAGUCUCUUCCCAGUCCCUGUUUUCCUCCUCUUCUCCUCUCUUUGAAGGUGAUAGCUCCCCUCUUGGCUGAAUGCAUAUGUCCCUAUUAGUGCUGUGCUGACAUGAGCCAGUAAAAUGUUGAAAAUAUUAAAAAAGGCCAACGAUUUUCAGGAACUACAAAGCACUGAAGACCAGCUACCACCACUAGCAUGUGGUCAGAUGGGGUGGAAGUGGCUUGUAAUACUGUUGUGAAUACUGAGACAUUCACCACUCUAUGAGUGCUAUUUGGCCACCACUUGCUAGCAAGAGUGAAGACACAGACGUUGAGUUGAGGCAAGAACAGCCAAUGUCUGGAAAUUGCUAUCAGAGACUUCUGAUGGAGAAAACUGGCUAAAAGAGACAGAGAAAUCUGAAACGGGGUUGCAUGCAACGAGGUUAUCCUUCAGCUGUGAUAUGCGGCAUGCUUAAAGUCAAAUAAAAGUUUCUAUUAUUGUAAAAUUUUCUUGUGC